This 66-nucleotide transfer RNA is filed under the name Nucula nucleus. RNAcentral describes it as "tRNA-Val". Lineage: Eukaryota; Metazoa; Mollusca; Bivalvia; Nuculida; Nuculidae. The record is from RNAcentral.
UUAAAAAUAAUAUAAAUUAAUAUAUUUCAUUUACACUGAAAAAAUAGCUGAGAUCGCUUUUUUAAU